This is a long non-coding RNA of Micropterus dolomieu (smallmouth bass), 449 nucleotides long. RefSeq lists it as uncharacterized. NCBI's taxonomy places the organism in Eukaryota, Metazoa, Chordata, Actinopteri, Centrarchiformes, Centrarchidae. The record is from RefSeq and is a predicted model, not a curated record. The transcript has 2 exons.
GGAAAAACUGGAAACAGAGAGCUGUUAUCCAUAGUUGAAGGACAACAAAGGACAAAUUACCAACAUGCCAACAUUGUAGGGCAGGCUAAACGCUCCGCUACUGAAACACUUAACUCUGUUCGAAGUGAGGCAGAGUCUACUAGCAGCAGAGGAAGUGGCGUUGUAGAUAUGCGUCACAAUGGAUCUGAUGUCGUAUGAGGAAGAUAGCAGCUUUGAGGGAGUGUCACGAUGGAUAGUGUGACCCCCAAGCCAGGAGCUCACCGACCUGUUGCAUGCUGCAGACAAGGCUGCAAGCUAAUCCAAAGUACAAAGCAUCACAGGCGUCUGUAGAAUGGAUGAUGUUCUGACAGCCACCACCAGAUGAGUCAGAGGUGGACAGACAUUUUGUCCCGCAGUGCAGCAUUUGAUAUGUUUUGUGAAUGGUUUAUAAACCAUAAACUUUUUAUCAA